Molecule: long non-coding RNA, 1504 nt
Organism: Lycium barbarum (goji berry)
Lineage: Eukaryota; Viridiplantae; Streptophyta; Magnoliopsida; Solanales; Solanaceae
Exons: 3
Source: RefSeq, a predicted model, not a curated record
AAGAAUGUGGUUGACAUCCCUUUAGUUACGUUUUCACGACUAGAAAAAUUAAUGAAGAGCAGCAACUUAGCUCCUUCGCAAAAUGUAAAUGAACGGGUUAUAAUCAAGAAAAUAUAGAAAGGUUCCACGCAAAAAUAUAUAUAUAAGGAACGAUAUGAAGGUUAUGCCCGUGUUGAUUUCCUCCAGAUGAUAGCAAAUUGAAGGCUUCUUCGUAGUAAAAUAAGGAGGAAGAUAAGGAGUUCUUGGCAAAUAAGAUUUACGGGCUUGGACGAAUAAGCGUAGCCAGUAGGAGAUUGAACAGGUAUGUAAGGCUUCACUCUUCCUUCUUUGGCAUGUCUUAGAUAUACUAGGUUUUAAAUACGAGCCUCGGAGACGAUCCUAUUCCUAGAAAUCCGAGUUUGAAAUUAACCUUUUUUCAUUCAAUAUAAUUGAAUUAAGCUUUCCAUAUCUUAUUGAGACAAUUGCAUCUAACGUCUAUAACUUGUCAAAUGAAAUCGGAUUACACUAAAACCUUCAUAGGUGUUGUGACUAUCCUAAUGAGAAUAUUUCUAUGAUGAAUAUGACAAAUAUGGUUUCAUGGUCAAAGAUCACGAGUUAUGGACUCAAUAUGAAUAUGAGAAAAUAGAGUUACUUCCAAAUCCUCAAUCUUAUUUCUUUGAACAUGACUCUACUUUCUAAAGACUUCAAGAAUACAAGGUGACGCCUUAUGAGGUUUGUGAUCUUAUUAUAUGUCUUCUUUUAAUACUACUCUACGUUUAUGGUCUCGCUUUAUAGUACUAGUUCCUCCAAGGCGAGACAAAGUGACCAUGGUUAUUCCAUCGGAGGCUACCGACCUUAUGUCACUCCGAUACGGACACGAUUUUCUUUAGGCUCUCAUGCAUGUUGUUUAUAUGUUAUAAGUAUAUGUAUAUGUAUAUGGGGAAGAUUGGAAGAGGGAAGGCGCUAUAGACGCACAGCCACCUGAUCAGUCGGAGUAUGGUACAUGAUAUCGUCCCGGACGCGGGAUAUAUGGUUAAAUGGAUCGGAGCCGACGCCUCGGUAAUAUGACAUGUUCUAUUUUCUAUAUAUAUGAAAAGAAAUGUCUUCCUAAGAAAGUAAAGUAAUAUGUAUAUGGACCGGGCUGCACGUUCCGCAGCAAUAUGUUACAGUAUAUGCACAUAUGGAUCGGGCUGCACGUUCCGCAGCAAUAUGAUAGACGUAUGGAUCGGGCUGCAAGUUCCGCAGCACUAAGCAUGCAUGGUACCCGCCAAAAGGCAUUCAUAUGUACAGGUACACCCAGAUGAGUAGAAGCUAUUAUAGAAGAUGUUCCAGCGAAGCUAGCAAGCUCCACUUGCUCUGGAGUGUCGCCGGGUCAGAGUACUAUGCUAUGAUGUCUUGUUCAAAGUUAGAGACUUUGCAGACAGAGUCGUGGGUAUAGAGUGUCAGUUUUGUAAGCGGCUUCAUCGGCCGAUGUGUUAUUAUGUUUUAUAUCACGAGUUUUAUAUGUUGAUAAAUUUUAUAUGAA